AGAGUUUGAUCCUGGCUCAGGACGAACGCUGGCGGCGUGCAUAAUGCAUGCAAGUCGAACGCAGCAGCUUCGGCUGGCUGCGUGGCGAACGGCUGAGGAACACGUGGGUAACCUGCCCCGGAGUGGGGGAUACCCCGUCGAAAGACGGGAUAAUCCCGCAUACGCUCUACGGAGGAAAGCCCCUACGGGCGCUCUGGGAGGGGCCUGCGGCCCAUCAGGUUGUUGGUGUGGUAACGGCGCACCAAGCCACUGACGGGUACCCGGUCUGAGAGGACGGCCGGGCAGACUGGGACUGCGACACGGCCCAGACUCCUACGGGAGGCAGCAGCAAGGAAUUUUCCCCAAUGGGCGCAAGCCUGAGGGAGCAACGCCGCGUGGAGGACGACGACCAACGGGUUGUAAACUCCUUUCGGGUGGGACGACUCCGACGGUACCACCAGAAGCAGCCCCGGAUAACUCUGUGCCAGCAGCCGCGGUAAAAAAAAGGGGGCAAGCGUUGUCCGGAGUUACUGGGCGUAAAGGGCGCGGAGGCGGUCUGCGGCGUCGGCGCUGAAAGCGCCCCGCUUAACGGGGCGAGGCGUGCCGAUACGCGCAGACUUGAGGCGAGCAGAGGGUGGUGGAAUUCCGGGUGGAGCGGUGAAAUGCGUAGAGAUCCGGAGGAACGCCAGUGGGGAAGCCGGCCACCUGGGCUCGGCCUGACGCUGCGGCGCGACCGCGUGGGGAGCAAACCGGAUUAGAUACCCGGGUAGUCCACGCCGUAAACGAUGCCAGCUCGGCGUGUGGCCCACGGUCGUGCGCUGCGUGCCUUAGCUCACGCGAUAAGCUGCCCACCUGGGGACUACGAGCGCAAGCUUGCAUGCCUGCAGGUCGACUCUAGAGUCCCCAUACCAGCCGUAGCC
RNAcentral lists this ribosomal RNA (899 nucleotides) under uncultured bacterium. Its description in RNAcentral is "bacterial SSU rRNA". It matches the Rfam family "Bacterial small subunit ribosomal RNA", at positions 8 to 939 of the family's 1533-position model. The record is from RNAcentral.